Molecule: ribosomal RNA, 253 nt
Filed under: uncultured bacterium
Lineage: Bacteria
Description: partial 16S ribosomal RNA
Rfam family: Bacterial small subunit ribosomal RNA
Source: RNAcentral
UACAGAGGUCUCGAGCGUUGUUCGGAUUCAUUGGGCGUAAAGGGUGCGUAGGCGGCGGGGCAAGUCUGAUGUGAAAUCCCGGGGCUCAACCCUGGAACUGCAUUGGAUACUGCCUUGCUAGAGUACUGGAGAGGAGAUUGGAAUUUACGGUGUAGCAGUGAAAUGCGUAGAUAUCGUAAGGAGGACCAGUGGCGAAGGCGAAUCUCUGGACAGUUACUGACGCUGAGGCACGAAGGCCAGGGGAGCAAACGGG